RNAcentral lists this transfer RNA (71 nucleotides) under Bos taurus (domestic cattle). It matches the Rfam family "tRNA". From Rfam's summary of the family: Transfer RNA (tRNA) molecules are approximately 80 nucleotides in length. Their secondary structure includes four short double-helical elements and three loops (D, anti-codon, and T loops). Lineage: Eukaryota; Metazoa; Chordata; Mammalia; Artiodactyla; Bovidae. The record is from Rfam by way of RNAcentral. RNAcentral also lists the same sequence under 2 other names.
UCCCUGAUGGCUUAGUGGUAAAGAGUCUGCCUGCAAUGCAGGAGACACAAGUUUGACUCCUUGAUUGGGAA